AUUUACAACCAAAUCACCAUUAACGCGUCCGAUUUUAUCAGAUAUUGGAAUCGAAUCUGGGAUGUAGAGCCUGGUGAGUACGUGGAUGGGAUACAGCCAGGGACUACCAGGUGUGCUGUAGGCC
Molecule: ribosomal RNA, 124 nt
Filed under: Petromyzon marinus (sea lamprey)
Lineage: Eukaryota; Metazoa; Chordata; Hyperoartia; Petromyzontiformes; Petromyzontidae
Source: RNAcentral